Molecule: long non-coding RNA, 1279 nt
Organism: Girardinichthys multiradiatus
Lineage: Eukaryota; Metazoa; Chordata; Actinopteri; Cyprinodontiformes; Goodeidae
Exons: 4
Source: RefSeq, a predicted model, not a curated record
AUUUUGAAUUUUUUAUUUUAUCACAUGAUGGAGAAUUGACACAAAGUGGCAUUCACAGUCAUUAAAUGAGAAUAUCCAUCUCAUCAGAUUUCCCCUGUGUAAAAACUCUUUUAUGAAACUCUCCAGGUGUUAUGCUGUUUUUUUUAGGUGCUUCAGGUUUUUGUUCAAGGAGUGAGUGAAGAUGAAGCACUGUGAUAUUUAGACUACUGGGGGAAUGGAACAACUGUAACGGUUCUGCCAGAUACAAAUUCUCCCUCUGUUCCACCGACCCUUUUUGUCCUGAGUCCCCUGCAGAGUCCUGGCUACCCCCUGAAGACAGCAGACGAAGUCGUUCCAAAUGUCUGUCUGGUCACAGAUUUCCAUCCGAAGGGGGAUGACGUGGUUCUGAAUCUGAGAGGAGGUCCGGUCAACGUGAGCACUGAUAAAGUUGUUCUGUCAAAGAACAACACCUACUACUUUGCUGCAUUCAGCAAUGAAACCAUCUACUCAUGUAGCAUGAACAGGAUGAUUGGCAACAAUGAAGCAGAUGAUGCAUGUGGGAACAUUAAUCCAGAAAAAGCCAAGCUGAACUUCUACCUGCUGCUGAUGAACGGAGUCCGAGUGGUGUUCACCAAAGCUCUGGCCUUCAGCACCGUCAUCACCAUCAGAGGCCUGAUAUUCUAACACUGACCCUUCAAGGCCACCAUGCAGGCUGUCAGUAAAGCACACCAACUUACCUGUAGAGGAAAACUGUUCAUGCAAUUCAAAUUUAAAUCCAUGAUCUUUUAAAAGGCAAUACAAAAAACAUCACCACUGAGGUGACUAGGGUCACUUAUACAGUCUGAAACCUGCAUACAAAACACACAUAAAAGUCUUAUUAUUUUUUAAUUUAGCAGUUUGUGCCAAUGGUGAGAAAUAUGUCUUUAAAAUACCUUAUGAACAGAAAUGCAUUUAUUACAAAAAUAAAUAUUCUACAAUACUUGGCUUAAAAAACAUUUACAAAUUGAAUUAAAGAAUAUAUGAAAUAAAUUAAAUAUAUGACUUUGUUGUCAGUUUAUAAAAAACAUGAACGACUGCUAAAAAGUAAAACAAAGAAAUAGCUUUAGAAAAAGGAAGGAAUUUGUAAUUUGUAACUAUUAUUUCUUAAAUUUAGCUUAGAAAUUGCUUUAUUUUUUGCUUCAAGUCAUCAAGUCAUGUUUGUUGGAUUUAAUUGUGUUCAUGUAAACCUUUCCUCUGUACUUUAUCUGUUUCAUUCUGUGUUUUAGUCCUGCAGAUCAGUAAAUAAAACUUUAAUGCAGCC